The sequence is a ribosomal RNA, 562 nucleotides long. The stretch from base 172 to 325 matches the Rfam family "5.8S ribosomal RNA".
UCCGUAGGUGAACCUGCGGAGGGAUCAUUACAGAGUUGAAAAACUCCAACCCCUGUGUACCUUACCUUUAUCGUUGCUUCGGCGGAGGAGUCCCCCCCGGGGGAGGGCGCCGCCGGAGGUCACAAACUCUGAAUUUACAGUGUAUCUCUGAGGAAAAAAACAAAUAAUUAAAACUUUCAACAACGGAUCUCUUGGUUCUGGCAUCGAUGAAGAACGCAGCGAAAUGCGAUAAGUAAUGUGAAUUGCAGAAUUCAGUGAAUCAUCGAAUCUUUGAACGCACAUUGCGCCCGCCGGUAUUCCGGCGGGCAUGCCUGUUCGAGCGUCAUUUCACCACUCAAGCCCAGCUUGGUGUUGGGGCACCCGGCCGCCCAGCGGCUUCGGGGCCCCCAAGUACAUCGGCGGACCCGCUGGGGCCCUGAGCGCAGUAACUCGCGGUAAAACGCGCCUCGCUCGGUGGAUCCCCGGAGGGCAUUCCAGCCGCUAAACCCCCUAAUUUUCUUAGGUUGACCUCGGAUCAGGUAGGAAUACCCGCUGAACUUAAGCAUAUCAAUAAGCGGAGGAA